RNAcentral lists this ribosomal RNA (504 nucleotides) under uncultured bacterium. RNAcentral describes it as "bacterial SSU rRNA". It matches the Rfam family "Bacterial small subunit ribosomal RNA", at positions 791 to 1301 of the family's 1533-position model. The record is from RNAcentral.
UAGUCCACGCUGUAAACGAUGAUUACUAGAUGUUCGGACUUCGGUCUGAGUGUCCAAGCGAAAGCGAUAAGUAAUCCACCUGGGGAGUACGUUCGCAAGAAUGAAACUCAAAGGAAUUGACGGGGGCCCGCACAAGCGGUGGAGCAUGUGGUUUAAUUCGAUGAUACGCGAGGAACCUUACCUGGGCUACAAUGCCUCUGCUACACCCUGAAAGGGGUGGUUCCUUCGGGACAGAGUGCAAGGUGCUGCAUGGUUGUCGUCAGCUCGUGCCGUGAGGUGUUGGGUUAAGUCCCGCAACGAGCGCAACCCUUGUCUUUAGUUGCCAUCAUUUAGUUGGGCACUCUAGAGAAACUGCCGGUGACAAACCGGAGGAAGGUAAGGAUGACGUCAAGUCAGCAUGCCCCUUACGCUCUGGGCUACACACGUGCUACAAUGGUCGUGACAAAGAGUUGCUAGUCUGCGAAGGCAAGCCAAUCUCAUAAACGCGGCCUUAGUUCGGAUUGC